CGUGGCGUCGGGCUAGUCAAUUCUGUGAUCGUGUCCUGACCUUUGCCUUGGAGGGCUUUGCGAUGCCGGCUGUACAGAGCCCAGGAUGCGGCGGGAGUAGACACAGAGUCCUUGCCCACUGGCUGAGAUGGCUUGGAACUCCCCUCUCCUUCUCUGGACUUGGUUUGGAGCCGGUCAGCCUCUGCUGGGUGCCGUGACGAGUGCAGAGGAAGGUGGGACAAUGAGUGGCCCGGAGAGACUUUCAGCCCAGACUUCCUAUCCAUGAAGAGCCUCAAUUUUGUACUUUUAUUUCCAAUG
Molecule: long non-coding RNA, 297 nt
Organism: Myotis myotis
Lineage: Eukaryota; Metazoa; Chordata; Mammalia; Chiroptera; Vespertilionidae
Exons: 3
Source: RefSeq, a predicted model, not a curated record